CCCAUCCUCGAUGGUAAACAAAAGUAACUUCUAAAAAAUACUACCUAAAAGAUCAACAUGCAUAUAUAAUCACGAGUCUCCAUCCUCGUUACUAUCGCCUGAAUCUUCAUCAUGCUCAUCCUCGACAUCAACAUCCUACAAGUAGUAGUACAUGGAAUGCAUGUCAAAUAUAUGAAAUGAAUGCAUGCAUUCUAAACAUAAGACUAAGAAAACUGAUUACAUACUAUGGUCUAUGAACAAACAUGAGCAACUUGCAGAUUGCACCUAUUUUAAGCAAUAAUCUCAGCACAAGUUUAUACAUAAGGUGCAACAAAUAGUACUACACCAACGAAAUG
RNAcentral lists this long non-coding RNA (335 nucleotides) under Panax ginseng (ginseng). Its description in RNAcentral is "long non-coding RNA (PGIN_LNC008896)". Lineage: Eukaryota; Viridiplantae; Streptophyta; Magnoliopsida; Apiales; Araliaceae. The record is from RNAcentral.